AAUGGCGGCCAUAGCGGUGGGGAUACACCCGGACUCAUUCCGAACCCGGCAGUUAAGUCCACCCGCGUCGAACACGGUACUGAGGUACGAGAGUCCUCGGGAACUGUUCAACGCUGCCAAUA
RNAcentral lists this ribosomal RNA (122 nucleotides) under Methanocalculus taiwanensis. The record is from RNAcentral. Lineage: Archaea; Methanobacteriati; Methanobacteriota; Methanomicrobia; Methanomicrobiales; Methanocalculaceae.